Molecule: ribosomal RNA, 331 nt
Filed under: uncultured bacterium
Lineage: Bacteria
Description: bacterial SSU rRNA
Rfam family: Bacterial small subunit ribosomal RNA
Source: RNAcentral
AGAGAAAUUUGAGCUAAUACCGGAUAAUGUCUUCGGACCAAAAGACUUUAUCGGCCUUUAGAUGGGCCCGCGUUGGAUUAGCUAGUUGGUGGGGUAAAGGCCUACCAAGGGCGACGAUCCAUAGCUGGUCUGAGAGGAUGAUCAGCCACACUGGGACUGAGACACGGCCCAGACUCCUACGGGAGGCAGCAGUGGGGAAUAUUGGACAAUGGGGCCGAAAAGCCGUGAUCCAGCAAUGCCGCGUGAGUGAUGAAGGCCUUAGGGUUGUAAAGCUCUUUUACCCGAGAUGAUAAUGACAGUAUCGGGAGAAUAAGCUCCGGCUAACUCCGUG